This 497-nucleotide ribosomal RNA is filed under the name uncultured bacterium. RNAcentral describes it as "partial 16S ribosomal RNA". It matches the Rfam family "Bacterial small subunit ribosomal RNA", at positions 28 to 507 of the family's 1533-position model. The record is from RNAcentral.
GACGAACGCUGGCGGCGUGCCCAAUACAUGCAAGUUGAGCGCUGAAGGUUGGUACUUGUACCAACUGGAUGAGCAGCGAACGGGUGAGUAACGCGUGGGGAAUCUGCCUUUGAGCGGGGGACAACAUUUGGAAACGAAUGCUAAUACCGCAUAAAAACUUUAAACACAAGUUUUAAGUUUGAAAGAUUCAAUUGCAUCACUCAAAGAUGAUCCCGCGUUGUAUUAGCUAGUUGGUGAGGUAAAGGCUCACCAAGGCGAUGAUACAUAGCCGACCUGAGAGGGUGAUCGGCCACAUUGGGACUGAGACACGGCCCAAACUCCUACGGGAGGCAGCAGUAGGGAAUCUUCGGCAAUGGACGAAAGUCUGACCGAGCAACGCCGCGUGAGUGAAGAAGGUUUUCGGAUCGUAAAACUCUGUUGGUAGAGAAGAACGUUGGUGAGAGUGGAAAGCUCAUCAAGUGACGGUAACUACCCAGAAAGGGACGGCUAACUACGUG